ACGUAGGGACCAAGCGUUGUUCGGAUUUACUGGGCGUAAAGUGUGCGCAGGCGGCAGAGCAAGUCGAGUGUGAAAGCCCCGGGCUUAACUUGGGAAUUGCGCUCGAAACUACUUUGCUGGAGUGUGGCAGAGGAAGGUGGAAUUCCACGUGUAGCGGUGAAAUGCGUAGAGAUGUGGAGGAACACCAAUGGCGAAGGCAGCCCCCUGGGUCAAAACUGACGCUCAUGCACGAAAGCGUGGGGAGCAAACAGGA
This 253-nucleotide ribosomal RNA is filed under the name uncultured prokaryote. RNAcentral's name for it is "partial 16S ribosomal RNA". It matches the Rfam family "Bacterial small subunit ribosomal RNA", at positions 525 to 777 of the family's 1533-position model. The record is from RNAcentral.